AGUGUCCACGGGCACUGGCUACUUCUAGAGUGUCCACUGGUACUGGCUACUUCUGAAGUAUCCACGGGCACUGGCUACUUCCCAAGUGUCCACGGGCACUGGUUACUUCCCGAGUGUCCACGGGCACUGGCUACUUCCGGAGUAUCCACGGGCACUGACUACUUCCGGAGUGUCCACAGGCACUGGGUACUUCCGGAGUGUCCACGGGCACUGACUACUUCCGGAGUGUCCACAGGCACUGGCUACUUCCGGAGUGUCCACAGGCACUGGCUACUUCCGGAGUGUCCACGGGCACUGGCUACUUCUAGAGUAUCCACGGGCACUGGCUACUUCCGGAGUGUCCACGGGCACUGGCUACUUCCGGAGCGUCAGUGGACGUGCUUUCGUGCCUGGUAUAGUGUAGAGCUGUGUUUCUGCUGGUGGUGCUGGGGGUUGGGUGGGUGUAAGGGUGCCAGGCGCCCACACGUCCCCAGGAAGACAUGUCUGGUGCCAGGGGCACCACCAGGACAAGCCAAGUGCACAGAGACCAUGUGGCCUAUCUCCACCCUGCAAACCAUGGGGGCUCCGCAGACCCUGUGCCAUCUGCCCGUGGUGUCAGUCACUGGUGUGGUUGUCAGGUACCCUGAGGGGGAAAGGGUUGGGUCACAGCACACACUAACCCAGGGGACAGAGCUUCCCUGCCAGUCCCUCAGCGCCCCCUCCCUGCCACGGCCGACUGGACCUGGCCCCUGUGUCCACCAGAGCCUGGCCUGGUGUUGCAUGGAGAGGGAGAACUGUGCGGUUCAGUGCUGAGAGCUGGGCUGCCCUGAUGCUGGGCUCAGGCCUCAGAACACAACCCCAGCCCAAGCUCCCAGUGUUGGCUCCCAGAGUGCUCCCCCACACCCCUCACCUCCUACAGGACGCGGUGCAGGCCACGUGCAGGAGGGAGCAGUGGUCCCCAGGCUGGCCCACACUCAGACACGCAGCCCCACUUGCUCAGUCCUGCCCAUGAGGGAGCAGACAGGGGCCUGGGAGUGGGCAGAGGGGGCACGGGGGAAGCAGCACCAGGGACUCCCCCGCCCUGCCCCCUCGGCUGCUCUCACAAGGUCCACACGUCUGCUACUCCGCAGUCUGUCUGUCACAACCUUGGUCAUUUUCUGCUGCCCAGUGCAGCCCAACACCACAAGAAAGGGAGACAGGAGGGGCAGGCGGCAGGUGUGGCAGCGAAGUCACAGCUCAGACACCCACACCCCGAUUCCAGCUUCUUGCUGACACACACCCUGUAGGCAGCAGGUGGCCCCUCGGGUGUUUGGGCUCCUAUCAACUCACAUGGGAGACCUGGCUGUGGCAGGCAUUUGGGGAGCAAACCAGUACAUGAAACAGCUGUCUCCUUGCCUUUCAAAUAAAAUGAAAACUUUUUUUUUUUUUUUUCA
RNAcentral lists this long non-coding RNA (1412 nucleotides) under Oryctolagus cuniculus (rabbit). Its description in RNAcentral is "lncRNA (ENSOCUG00000035289.1)". The record is from RNAcentral. Lineage: Eukaryota; Metazoa; Chordata; Mammalia; Lagomorpha; Leporidae.